This 253-nucleotide ribosomal RNA is filed under the name uncultured bacterium. Its description in RNAcentral is "partial 16S ribosomal RNA". It matches the Rfam family "Bacterial small subunit ribosomal RNA", at positions 524 to 776 of the family's 1533-position model. The record is from RNAcentral.
UACGUAGGGGGCAAGCGUUGUCCGGAAUCAUUGGGCGUAAAGAGCGUGUAGGCGGCCCGAUAAGUCCGCUGUGAAAGUCCAGGGCUCAACCCUGGAAUGCCGGUGGAUACUGUCGGGCUCGAAUCCGGAAGAGGUGAGUGGAAUUCCUGGUGUAGCGGUGAAAUGCGCAGAUAUCAGGAGGAACACCAAUGGCGAAGGCAGCUCACUGGGACGGUAUUGACGCUGAGACGCGAAAGCGUGGGGAGCGAACCGG